RNAcentral lists this ribosomal RNA (396 nucleotides) under uncultured bacterium. RNAcentral describes it as "partial 16S ribosomal RNA". It matches the Rfam family "Bacterial small subunit ribosomal RNA", at positions 523 to 918 of the family's 1533-position model. The record is from RNAcentral.
AUACGUAGGGGGCGAGCGUUGUCCGGAAUGAUUGGGCGUAAAGGGCGCGUAGGCGGCCCGGUAAGUCUGGAGUGAAAGUCCUGUUUUUAAGAUGGGAAUUGCUUUGGAUACUGUCGGGCUUGAGUGCAGGAGAGGUAAGUGGAAUUCCCAGUGUAGCGGUGAAAUGCGUAGAGAUUGGGAGGAACACCAGUGGCGAAGGCGACUUACUGGACUGUAACUGACGCUGAGGCGCGAAAGUGUGGGGAGCAAACAGGAUUAGAUACCCUGGUAGUCCACGCCCUAAACGAUGAAUACUAGGUGUGGGGGGACUGACCCCCUCCGUGCCGGAGUAAACACAAUAAGUAUUCCACCUGGGGAGUACGACCGCAAGGUUGAAACUCAAAGGAAUUGACGGGG